CAGUGGGUACGGGCAGACUAGAGUGCAGUAGGGGAGACUGGAAUUCCUGGUGUAGCGGUGAAAUGCGCAGAUAUCAGGAGGAACACCGAUGGCGAAGGCAGGUCUCUGGGCUGUAACUGACGCUGAGGAGCGAAAGCAUGGGGAGCGAACAGGAUUAGAUACCCUGGUAGUCCAUGCCGUAAACGUUGGGCACUAGGUGUGGGGGACAUUCCACGUUUUCCGCGCCGUAGCUAACGCAUUAAGUGCCCCGCCUGGGGAGUACGGCCGCAAGGCUAAAACUCAAAGGAAUUGACGGGGGCCCGCACAAGCGGCGGAGCAUGCGGAUUAAUUCGAUGCAACGCGAAGAACCUUACCAAGGCUUGACAUGGACCGGACCGCCGCAGAAAUGCGGUUUCCCUUCGGGGCUGGUUUACAGGUGGUGCAUGGUUGUCGUCAGCUCGUGUCGUGAGAUGUUGGGUUAAGUCCCGCAACGAGCGCAACCCUCGUUCUAUGUUGCCAGCGCGUUAUGGCGGGGACUCAUAGGAGACUGCCGGGGUCAACUCGGAGGAAGGUGGGGACGACGUCAAAUCAUCAUGCCCCUUAUGUCUUGGGCUUCACGCAUGCUACAAUGGCCGGUACAAAGGGUUGCGAUACUGUGAGGUGGAGCUAAUCCCAAAAAGCCGGUCUCAGUUCGGAUUGAGGUCUGCAACUCGACCUCAUGAAGUCGGAGUCGCUAGUAAUCGCAGAUCAGCAACGCUGCGGUGAAUACGUUCCCGGGCCUUGUACACACCGCCCGUCAAGUCACGAAAGUUGGUAACACCCGAAGCCGGUGGCCUAACCCCUUGUGGGAGGGAGCCGUCGAAGGUGGGACC
This 851-nucleotide ribosomal RNA is filed under the name Crystallibacter crystallopoietes. RNAcentral's name for it is "bacterial SSU rRNA". It matches the Rfam family "Bacterial small subunit ribosomal RNA", at positions 624 to 1469 of the family's 1533-position model. Lineage: Bacteria; Bacillati; Actinomycetota; Actinomycetes; Micrococcales; Micrococcaceae. The record is from RNAcentral.